Molecule: ribosomal RNA, 495 nt
Filed under: uncultured bacterium
Lineage: Bacteria
Description: partial 16S ribosomal RNA
Rfam family: Bacterial small subunit ribosomal RNA
Source: RNAcentral
GACGAACGCUGGCGGCGUGCCUAACACAUGCAAGUCGAACGCUGAAGGAGGAGCUUGCUCUUCUGGAUGAGUUGCGAACGGGUGAGUAACGCGUAGGUAACCUGCCUGGUAGCGUGGGAUAACUUUAGGAAACGAUAGCUAAUACCGCAUAAGAGUAGAUGUUGCAUGACAUUUGCUUAAAAGUUGCAAUUGCAUCACUACCAGAUGCACCUGCGUUGUUUUAGCUUGUUGGUGGGGUAACGGCUCACCAAGGCGGCGAAACAUAGUCGAACGGAGAGGGGGGGUAGCCAAACUGGGAGGGGGACACGGCCCAGACGCCCUCGGGAAGGAGCAAGAGGGGAACGUGGGGAAGGGGUGGGAAUCUGAGCAAAAAAGGCCGAGGGAGUGAAGAAGGUCUUCGGGUCGUAAAGCUCUGUUUUAAGGGAAGAACGAGUGUGAGAGUGGAAAGUUCACACUGUGACGGUAUCUUACCAAGAAGCAACGGCUAACUACGUG